This is a long non-coding RNA of Lolium perenne, 4106 nucleotides long. RefSeq lists it as uncharacterized. NCBI's taxonomy places the organism in Eukaryota, Viridiplantae, Streptophyta, Magnoliopsida, Poales, Poaceae. The record is from RefSeq and is a predicted model, not a curated record.
UUCUCUCCCCGCCCGUCCGUGCUAAUCUCCCACCCAAGAUAUCUCUCGCCUCCUCUCGCCUCUAAACCCUAACCCCUUUCUUCCUCGGUAUCCAAUUCCAAUCACGCCGCCCGCCUCACCACCCACCACCCUGGAUACUCCAGCCCCUCCCACCUCCUACCGGUCCUCUGACGCUCAGGUGCCCCUGCCCCCCUCCUCCUGGUGACCACAGAGCUCCGCACGGACGAGGGACACGCAUGCCCGCCGGCCUUGAUGGUCGCCCUCUCUCCCGUGGCCAGCCGCGCUACGGCGAGGAGCUGAGGGCAGGCGGAGAGCGAGCGGAGGGUAGGGGAGAGAGAGCCAUGGGCAUGAUAGGCGGCGAAGGGCAAAUGAGCAUGUCACGAUAACGCAAAUCACGUCGGCAAUCACCCAAAAAAAACAUCAUCGCUACCACCACAGCGCACCAUACAAGUCAAUGAUGUUCGCCCUAGCACUAGGCCGUCGUCCUCGACUGCGCCCUCCAUGCUAGCGCGGCAUGGCUAUGUCGCCCCAGCGGUGGUGACCGCCACACCAACGCGACACCCUCCGCAGCGCGUCCCGCCCAACGAUUCACAGCCAUGCGGCUCCGCCAUCCCUAGAUCGGAUCAGAUAUGGCUCGGUUCUUGAGGUGAGCGUCAAGCCUGGUGAUUAUCUUGGUGUUCCCUCGAUUGGGUAGCACGGUUAGUGCAGGGUCUUUGUGCUGGGAUCACAUCCCGUUACCUUCAUGGAAAAAAUGACUUUGGAUCUGAUUGUGUUUGCUGGAGUAGCAGGAUUUUGGUCAUCUCAAAAUUGGAUCCUUUCUUUGUGAUGAAUCUUGAGGAAUGAAUGGUGGUUGCAUCCAGAAAUGCGUAAAGAUUUUAUCAGUCAGCCUGUUCUCCUUUGUCAUAUGUCAGAACAAAAGGCUUCAAAAUAUACCACUGCAUUCACCAGCGGUGAAUCUUUUUCAGAAGCGGGUGCUUAAUGGAAGUUGGGACAAUCACUUAAUACUAAAGUCUUCUGCGUUUUUGUUAUUGGAGCAGAUUUUUUUUUCGAGCUCAUGAGAUAUGACAGCCUCAUGCAUUAUAUGAAGAUAUUCAGUGAAAUCUCCUCCGUAUUGUUAACAGACUGAAAGUUCAAGAAAUGUGAUGUUGCCUAAUUUAUUUCCCUAACUGUUAUGCUACCUGAGAGGAGGUUGGAGAAUUUAUUCGGACAAUCACUUAGUACUAAAACAUGAAGCUUGUUAUGUCCAUAAUUCUAUUAAUGGCUUGUCAUUCUUUAUUGAUCAUCACAGUGGGAUGAAUCAGAUACCAUCUUGAGUCACAGUGUAUAUCCUUUGAAGUUUUACAAUUUUUAGCUUCAGGCCAACAUUUGUCCCACAAACUGAAGCAGGGUAGGAGAGCUGAAGUUGUCACACGGAUCUGGCCCUUGUAUAUUUGUAUUUGUAGAGCUAAUGUGGUUUGCAAAUUGCAAUUGCAAUUUCCUCUUUCGUUAAACCAUCAGAAGCUUUUGAACUUUUAUUUUUGUUCUUUAAAAUGACAUAUAUGUUUAGAUCGUUGUGCAUUUUUAGGUCUGUUGUUGGUAGUUAUGUUAACAAUAUUAUGAUGUACUCUUGUAAUAUACCCUGGACAUUUUACUUUUGAAACUUGAACAUUUCUUAACAUGUUUUUCCUGAAGAAAGAAUUCUUUUGGUCAGUAUGGUUUCUAAAGAUUUAUGUCAUGACUCUAUGCUAAAUUCAUGUUUAUUGCACGUGCUUGAGAAAGAGGCAUCACUUAUCUUCUUUAUCUGAACCCGAGCAAAAAUAGAUAACACAAAUUCUUAUAGUUGUUUGCCUAUUUGUGUGUAGGUUCCGAUGUACAAGCAUAUAGCAGAUCUUGUUGGUAAAAGCGCUACAACGCUUCCCGGCCCUGCAAUUACAGUCAUUAAUGGUGAAACCCAUGCUGGAAAUAGUCUUCCCAUUCAAGCAUUUCCACUUUACAUGUACAACUAUCUUUUGGAGCAAAAGUUUUUGUCAACGGCUAAAAAACUACAUACCCGUAACUUUUUAAGUUAGAGGUUGUUUACUCCCUUGUUUCUUCCAAUUGAUUCUAUUUUUAAUAAGCACAAAUGAAGAUGGUCCGUCCAUGUAUAUCAACACCUCUAGAUGCUUUAAUGUUUUUUUGGACCUUCAAGUAGAGUUUCUUUCUGUAGGAAAUUAUGAUCUUUCAGUUGGUACAAAGAACUUUGAAGAAGGAAUGCAGGUGGGCUCAGAGACAUAUCAUUAUCUGAAGGAUGGAGCUUGGCUGCGGUGCAGCAAUGGCGCCAUGGAGGCAUGAAGGAUGAGUUGGUGCUUGCCUGCCUGAGAUGCCGCUGGUGGUAUUAGCUAUUCCACCCCCACAAAGAGAACAAUAAUCGUCUCAAUGGCCUCCUCUCUUGGGGGAUUCUGAAAUAGAUGCGAAUAUGGUGGUUGGACGAUUCUCGGGAGGGGCACCUGAAGAGCAGCCUGGACGGAAAGGGAAGACAUCUACCCGAACGCUCUCACUCACUCCCUUUAGCCAAGCGUGAUGUAUGGAUGGACAGACGAGGGCUACCGAAAGCACCAUCUCCCUGAGAUCAUGGUACCCGCCACUACUGCCAAACUAAUCGCCUGGAUGGAUGAGUUGUCGGUCGCAUGAAGUACCCAUCAGAAACAACAUCAUGCUGAGUGUUUGGCGAAGAACAUGAGGAGGGGACGCUUCUGUGUGAUAAAUUCCCACGCUUAUUCUCCUUUGCAUUGGAUGAAGAUAUUUACUCUCUGCUGAUGACAUUACAUCCAAGUUCUAUCUCCCUCUCUCAAUAGAAGCAUUCCAGGAGCUGCAGAUAGUUCAGCAAAUAGCACAGGACAACCCUCUUACUCUUGAUGCUCAUGAUCAAAGAAGCUUUGUUUGGGGGGAAAAUAUACUUCAGCAAGGUAUUAUCGUUUUCUGUUUGAAAGAGUGCCUAAGAAUGAGAUAAUGAUUUCCAUCUGGUCCUCUAAAACUCUCCCCAAAAUCAAGGUGUUUCUCUGGCUUCGUAUGCUUGAUAGACUAAACACAAGGGAUAUUAUGAGCCGUAAAAAUUGGACUGUUGAUUCUGGAACAGAUUGCUCUUAAUGUCUUACGGCCAGCCUGGAGACAAGAUCUCACUUAUUUUUUGAGUGUGAAUUUGCUAGAGGCUGUUGGAAUGAAAUCAAUAUUCAGAGGCCGAGCAACAAAUCUAUGGCAGAAGGGUUUGGGGAAGCUAAAAGCAAUUUUCAAGGGCCCUGUUUCGUCGAGGUUUUUGCAUGUGCUGCUUGGAACAUUUGGAAGUCUCGAAAUGAUUUUAUCUUUCAGGCCAUUCCCUUCUCCCUGGGCAUAUGGAAAGUGGGGUUUCAGAGUGACCUAUGGUUGCACCAUUAUAGAGUCAAGCAGACAGUAGUCCAACCUCUCCUUGACUGGCUCCUAGAGAUUUCUAAUUAAUUUUUUUCCUUAUGUCUUUCUUAGGUGCCUUUCAACCACCUUGAUGUAAUCUUUUUUCUUGGGGGGUUUUCUAUGCCCCUUUGUACAGUUUACUUUUUUGUUCAUAUAUAAAAAAAACUAUACUGUAGGGGCUUCCCCUACGGUACAGGUGUCAAAAAAUACUGCUUCUCUUAACAACUUUAUCCGGUCAAGUCUUUUUUAUCAAAUUGUUUCUAUUUCCAUUUCCUAAACUUGUUGUCACAUUGCCCAAGUGGUCUGGAAAGCUACAUUGGGCCUUGUUGUGUCAUUCUAACUGUUAACCUUCAUCUUUCUAAUUGGGUGUGGGAUAACAUAGUGUUGUGAUAUAUAAUUAGUGCUCUAGAUAUGUGUAUCUUUUCUCCAUGGUUAUUAUUGAAAAAUAUGCAUACUAAUGCGGCUAGGAACCUUGAUAGAGGAGCAUACUGUUUACUUGCUUUUAUUUUCCGUAGUCUGAAAUUCUCUAAAGCUUAAUGUCCAUCCAGUUCCUUGGAUAGAAAAGCUCAUUAGCAUAUCCUCUCAUGGCUUCUAGGAAACAUGAUGGUUUCUUGGCCUUAUUUUUGUCUUUUACAUCAUUGCUCCUUAAUACUCCGUACAUAUAUUUUCGUAUCCACAACCAACAUGUUCUUAUGUUUCUUUUA